RNAcentral lists this ribosomal RNA (460 nucleotides) under uncultured bacterium. RNAcentral describes it as "partial 16S ribosomal RNA". It matches the Rfam family "Bacterial small subunit ribosomal RNA", at positions 338 to 795 of the family's 1533-position model. The record is from RNAcentral.
CCUACGGGAGGCAGCAGUGAGGAAUAUUGGUCAAUGGGCGAGAGCCUGAACCAGCCAAGUCGCGUGAAGGAUGACGGCCCUACGGGUUGUAAACUUCUUUUGUCAGGGAGCAAUUGGGUCCACGCGUGGGCUUAGCGAGAGUACCUGAAGAACACGCAUCGGCAAACUUCGUGCCAGCAGCCGCGGUCAUACGGAGGAUGCGAGCGUUAUCCGGAUUUAUGGGGGUUAAGGGGUGCGUAGGCGGAAUAUCAAGGCAGCGGUAAAAAUUCGGGGCUAAACCCCGUCGUGCCGUUGAAACUGAUGUUCUUGAGUGGGCGAGAGGUAAGCGGAAUGCGUGGUGUAGCGGUGAAAUGCAUAGAUAUCACGCAGAACUCCGAUUGCGAAGGCAGCAUACCGGCGCCCAACUGACGCUGAAGCACGAAAGCGUGGGUAUCGAACAGGAUUAGAUACCCCGGUAGUC